AGCCCCCGCAGCGGGCAACCAGGCAAGGCAGAGCGAGGGAGCCCACUGUGCCCUUCUUCUUCCAGAAGUGCUCUCUUGGCGGCCUUGGGCUCUUCUCCUGCGGGUGGAUUGACGCUGUCAAUCUAGCGGCGCGGAGCAGCGUGCAAAGGGUGAGCCCAAGAGCGGAGAAGGGGGGGCAGGCACUGGGAGGCUGGUGGACCCGCGCUGGAAGGCACUUGCUCAGCAGCACUUGGCCUCCUGCUGACCUCCCUUGGGCUGGCCGGGGCUGGGGGGCUGGCGGGGCACCGCUGCUAAGAGCUGGCUGCUGUGUUUUGCCUUGCACUCUUGAAACAGGACUGCACACGUGAGGCGCGCUCCCUUCGGCGGCAUGGAGCCUCAGAGCCUGAGGACCGCGUGCGGGCUCGUGGCACUGAGCUUUUUGCUCCUGUGCCUGCCCAGCUUCCCCUCGGCCUGCAACCUCCUCAUGGUGCUCCUGACGGUGGCCUCCACGGCUGUCCUGGAUAGCCUCGGGCCCCAGGGGCCUCUGGGCGCUGCUGGCAGCCUGGGCAACGGCAGCGGGGAGUUGCCCGGAGCUCAGCAGCCGUCUCCCAGAGCCUGGCGGCCUCUUUCGCGCCCUGCGCAGCUCAGGCGCCAACGCGCAGGGGAGCCCUCCUCUGCCCCACCUCUGCAACGCUGGACCACCCUGCAGCUCUGGCCCCCACCACUGCAGACGGCCUCCCCUCCCGCUGCACGCGGUGCCCGCUGGAGAGCGGUGCUGGGCUCCCUGCUUUGCCCAGGCUGCACUUGUGGGGGCUUCAGACGACUGCGCAAGGGCAUCCGCAGAUGUGCCGCCCUCCUGCGAAGGAGACGACGAGCGCCCAGCAGCCACCAGGCAAGGAGCAGCUACUUUGGUCAAGCACAGAGCUCAGCGCCUGCGCAGAGGCACUGGUAACAAGCGCCCCGCUGAGCUACACGCCUUCGUCACCCCGGCGCCACUGGAAAUAAACCUCUGUGCACCAUU
Long non-coding RNA from Dromaius novaehollandiae (emu), 1000 nucleotides. RefSeq lists it as uncharacterized. NCBI's taxonomy places the organism in Eukaryota, Metazoa, Chordata, Aves, Casuariiformes, Dromaiidae. The record is from RefSeq and is a predicted model, not a curated record. The transcript has 2 exons.